GGGUCAGUAGGUUGGUCGUGCCACCGGUACGUACUGGUCUCACUGACUCCUCCUUCCUGAAGAACCGUAAUGCCAUUAAUUUGGUGUUGCGGGGAAACAGGACUGUUACUUUGAAAAAAUUAGAGUGCUUAAAGCAAGCUAACGCUUGAAUACAUUAGCAUGGAAUAAUGAAAUAGGACGAUCGAUCCUAUUUUGUUGGUUUCUAGGAUUGACGUA
RNAcentral lists this ribosomal RNA (216 nucleotides) under Glomeromycotina sp. RNAcentral's name for it is "partial small subunit ribosomal RNA". The stretch from base 75 to 216 matches the Rfam family "Eukaryotic small subunit ribosomal RNA", at positions 721 to 864 of the family's 1831-position model. Lineage: Eukaryota; Fungi; Glomeromycota. The record is from RNAcentral.